GGCUGCAACAACCCCGUGGAUGGGGAAGCCCAGGCUGAUCGGCCGAGUCGCCGAUCCCGCUUGGCGCUUCAGCGCAUCCACUGCAGCC
Molecule: small RNA, 88 nt
Filed under: unclassified sequences
Description: NAD+-I sequence
Rfam family: nadA riboswitch
Source: Rfam by way of RNAcentral